CUUGUUUAUGAUAGGGCAUGGGAAUGCAUUCUGCUAGCAGGUGGUGUUUUUCCAUUUCCUCUUGUAUAUAAACUGCUGGCUGCAAUAAACUGAUGGCAUUUGCUUCUACUGAAUGACUCGAGUUGUGUCCUUCUUAAUCUGCAGACUCUCGACUGGUCUGGUUCUUCACUCUAUGGUGCUGGCGCUGGUGCUGGUACAAGUGUUGUGAUGGAAUCACAUUCAGCAUACUCUUCAGUGUUGUGAUGGAAUCACAUUCAGACCCAUGGAAAAUAGAGCAGUUCCCUGCUUGCUCUUGAGCUGGAAAUCUGUUCUCUAUUAUAAGGAGAGGGGUCCUGUAUAUGCCCAGUGCGAUGGAUAUAUUGGAUGUCGACUUGACUUCAUCUGGAAUUGACUAAAACCCCAAAAUGGCUGUGCACACCUGUGAGGAAUGUUUUCUGAAUUAAAUAAUUUGAAAUGGGAAGAUCUACACUUCUAAUCUGAAUCUUUGAGGUGGGAAGCUCCUGUAAAGGAUACACAAGAAGGAAAUGUCACUCUUUAUCUGCUUGAUUUUGUCCUAGACAGCAAGUCUAUUCCUUUGCUGGCAUUAGAGUUUACUUCUUCAAUAUUCUGGCAUAUACUGAGGCCCAGCUGAGACAUGUAGCCUCAUGGACAGAUCAACUAUUGGAUUCUUGAACCUUCUGUUCAUAGGCAGCCAUUGUUGGAUUAGCUGGACUACAGCCUGUAAGUCAUUCUAAUAAACCCCCUUUCUGCAUAUAUAUUCAUUCUAUAAAUCUGUUACUCUAGAGAACCCUGACUAAUAAACCCAAUGUAGUAGUUUGAAUAAGAACAGCUCCCAUGUGCUCACAUAUUUGACUGCUUGAUCAUUAGGGAUUGGCACUGCUUGAGAGGGAUUUAAGAUCUGGCUUUUUUUGGACUAGGUGUGGUCUUGUUGGAGGAAGUGUGUCACUGGGGUUAGGCUUUGGGGGUUUCAAAUGCCAGGCCCAGUGUCUCUGUUUCUUCCUGCUGCCUGUGAAUCUGGGUAUAGAACUGUCAGCUAUUUCUUCAGCAUGAUGUCUGCCUACAUGCCACCAUGCUUCCUGCAAUGAUAACAAUGGACUAAACCUGUGAAAUUGUAAGCAAACCUCAAUAAAAUGUUUU
This 1137-nucleotide long non-coding RNA is filed under the name Cricetulus griseus (Chinese hamster). RNAcentral describes it as "lncRNA (ENSCGRG00015031235.1)". The record is from RNAcentral. Lineage: Eukaryota; Metazoa; Chordata; Mammalia; Rodentia; Cricetidae.